RNAcentral lists this ribosomal RNA (253 nucleotides) under uncultured bacterium. Its description in RNAcentral is "partial 16S ribosomal RNA". It matches the Rfam family "Bacterial small subunit ribosomal RNA", at positions 524 to 776 of the family's 1533-position model. The record is from RNAcentral.
CACGUAGGGGGCAAGCGUUGUCCGGAAUUAUUGGGCGUAAAGAGCUCGUAGGCGGCUCGGUAAGUCAGGUGUCAAAUCCUCAGGCUCAACCUGGGGCUCCACCUGAUACUGCUGUGGCUAGAGUCCGGUAGGGGAGCGUGGAAUUCCUGGUGUAGCGGUGAAAUGCGCAGAUAUCAGGAGGAACACCAGCGGCGAAGGCGCCGCUCUGGGCCGUGACUGACGCUGAGGAGCGAAAGCGUGGGUAGCAAACAGG